GCCUACGACCAUAUCACCCUGAAUGCGCCCGAUCUCGGCUGAUCUCGGAAGCUAAGCAUAAUCGAGCCUGGUUAGUACUUGCAUGGGAGAUUGCCUGGGAAUACCAGGUGUUGUAGGCU
Molecule: ribosomal RNA, 119 nt
Filed under: Petromyzon marinus (sea lamprey)
Lineage: Eukaryota; Metazoa; Chordata; Hyperoartia; Petromyzontiformes; Petromyzontidae
Source: RNAcentral